Molecule: ribosomal RNA, 474 nt
Filed under: uncultured bacterium
Lineage: Bacteria
Description: bacterial SSU rRNA
Rfam family: Bacterial small subunit ribosomal RNA
Source: RNAcentral
ACUCCUACGGGAGGCAGCAGUAGGGAAUCUUCCACAAUGGGCGCAAGCCUGAUGGAGCAACACCGCGUGAGUGAAGAAGGGUUUCGGCUCGUAAAGCUCUGUUGUUAAAGAAGAACACGUAUGAGAGUAACUGUUCAUACGUUGACGGUAUUUAACCAGAAAGUCACGGCUAACUACGUGCCAGCAGCCGCGGUAAUACGUGGGGUGGCAAGCGUUAUCCGGAUUUAUUGGGCGUAAAGAGAGUGCAGGCGGUUUUCUAAGUCUGAUGUGAAAGCCUUCGGCUUAACCGGAGAAGUGCAUCGGAAACUGGAUAACUUGAGUGCAGAAGAGGGUAGUGGAACUCCAUGUGUAGCGGUGGAAUGCGUAGAUAUAUGGAAGAACACCAGUGGCGAAGGCGGCUACCUGGUCUGCAACUGACGCUGAGACUCGAAAGCAUGGGUAGCGAACAGGAUUAGAUACCCUGGUAGGAUAGCG